Pipistrellus kuhlii (Kuhl's pipistrelle) is the source of this 1470-nucleotide long non-coding RNA. RefSeq lists it as uncharacterized. The transcript has 3 exons. Lineage: Eukaryota; Metazoa; Chordata; Mammalia; Chiroptera; Vespertilionidae. The record is from RefSeq and is a predicted model, not a curated record.
CGAACCCAAAACCUAGGUAUGUGCCCUGACCAGAAAUAGAACCCACAACCUUUUGGAGUACAGGAUGAUGUUCCAACCAUCUGAGCCAUCCAGCCAAAGCUUCAAAAAAUCUUAAUAAUUCAUACAGAUUAAAGUGUCUUGCCCAACACUUCAAAAGAGAAAAGACCUGAGUAAAUGUAAAAAACUAAAUCAAAGGUGAUUUUAAUGAUUUUAGAAACAUUUAUAAAAAUCUUUUUUAGCCUUUCUACAAUAUAUUCUCUGCCAUUCCCUUAAUUCAUCUGCCCUUCACAACUGACUAGUAACUUCCUGUCCAGUUUCCUUUUCUCCACCUUCAGCUCUUCCAUAAAACUACCAGUUAUCUUUCUAAAACAUAAAACUUUUAUUGACUGCCUUUUACCUACCAAAAUAUAUCAAAGCUCCUCAGCAUAAAAAGCUUACCUUUUCAUUAUUAACCAACCUGCAUUUCUAGCUUCAUCUCUUCACCAUUACCUCUCCAUCCUUCCUCCCUAUUCCCUCUACACAUAUACUCUUUUCAAAAUUUCACAUCCCUUCAGAAUUCUGUGCCAUUCUACACAUUGGUAUCUCUUUGUAAAUUGCUGUAUUUUUCUGUGCCUCCUAGUCGUCUGCUUUUGAGGUACUUUUGCUUACUGAAUUUUCCUUGAUUAGCUUGCUAUUAACACACUUAGUAAAUGUGUUUUUAGUAAACAUCUUAAUGAUUCAACCUUUACUCAUUUAUUUACUUACUGCAUGCAGAUUAGACCCAUAGAUAGAGCUUUUGUUAAAACCUGAAACUCCUUUUUCAGUUCCAAGAAUAAUAAUACAGUCUUGGUUAUUCUGAGUCAAGGAAAUAACACUUUCAAGUUCCACUAGGGGGAGAACUUCACUUAGUCAAACAUUUUUAUACUUCAAAUCUCUUCAGACCAACUCUUUCAAUUACUGUUACUCUCUUAUGAAUAAAAUGUUUCAAACUCUUCACUUAAUAAACUACAUUAUUAUAUAAGCUGUUAUUUAGUAUAAUCAAAGACUGCUUUUUAAUGUAGUUAUGAAAAUUAUACUUUUGUAAAUGUCAUAUUUAGGUGAGAAAAUACAUUAGCUAAAGAAAUACUUAUUUUUAUAAAUACUAGCAUUAUAUAGUAGAUAUACUUAUGAGGCUGAAGUUUAUUAAAUUUAUUUUAAAAGAUUCUUUAGUCAACUUGACACUUUUAUUAUUUAAAGUUCACAAUCUCCCACAUGUAAUUGUUCUGAGAUAACUACAUCUGUAAUAUACUUAAUAUCCUCUACCAUAAUUCUCCCCCUCCUCUUUUGAGGAGCAACUUUAUAUUAGGAUUUUACAAUGAAUUUGACCUUUUCUAAGUGUAGCGGCUUUAACAUUUUGGCAUUUCCAUAGAACUGUUUGUAAAAGUUAUCACCUACGUUUCUUCCUUCUCAGCAUGAAUGGCACUUAUCGAUGGAUUUUAGAGAUGGGAAGAG